This 387-nucleotide unclassified non-coding RNA is filed under the name soil metagenome. RNAcentral describes it as "partial contains 5.8S ribosomal RNA, internal transcribed spacer 2, and large subunit ribosomal RNA". The stretch from base 1 to 120 matches the Rfam family "5.8S ribosomal RNA", at positions 35 to 154 of the family's 154-position model. The record is from RNAcentral.
GAUGAAGAACGUAGCGAAAUGCGAUAAGUAAUGUGAAUUGCAGAAUUCAGUGAAUCAUCGAAUCUUUGAACGCACCUUGCACCCUUUGGCAUUCCGAAGGGUAUGCUCGUUUGAGUGUCAUUGUACUCUCACACUCUCCGAUCCUAUGGAUUCGGGGAGCGGUGGACUUGGGUGUUGCUGCCUUUCCUUGUGGCUCACCUCAAAUGUGUCAGUGCACCUCUUGGUUGGACAUAGUACGGCGUGAUAAGUGUCUUCGCCGGCACCUCGCAAGAGGGUGGCCGAUCGGGAGCUCUGUGCUUUCAAACAGUCUUCGGACAAUUUCUGACAACUUGACCUCAAAUCGAGUAGGACUACCCGCUGAACUUAAGCAUAUCAAUAAGCGGAGGA